CCCCGCCCCUCCCUGCUUGGAGUGGGCACGUGGCUCCAGCGGCGAUGGACCGAGCUGUCUGUGGGUGACUCAGCAGUGCCUGCGCCUGCCCCAGCCUGAUAAGUAUGGAGUUCCUAAGGACAGCGUUGAAUCUCCAAGACAGAUCCUGAGGGUAGGGCUAUACUUCGCACUUGGUGUGAGCAGGCAGAUCUGUGUCACCCCCAAAAUGGGGCUCCCCUCAUGAGGGAACCACAGAAGUGUUUACUAUGCUCCAGGUACUUCAUCCACGCACCAGAAUAACAGCUGUGUGCCAGUUGCUGGCAACGUGUACGUGACCAAAACAGACAAGUGCUUCGCUCACAGCCUCUUUCUAAAUCUUCACUUCUUAGCAGGUCUCCAGCUGACCUUGAGCUGCAAUUACACUUUCACCUAACAGCCACUUACCACGUGGUAAGAGCUUACCGAUGUUCUGAACCCUAUACAUACAUCAACUCACUGAAUCCUCACAACAGCCCCGUGAAGGGAGUCCAUUCUGCAGGUGAGGAAACUGAAGCACAGAGACAGAGACCCAAGAUCUGACUCCAGCCUUAACCACUACCUCUGUUAUAAGACAGGAAAUCAUAGGACAUUUUGCAACCAGAGGCAAAAACUUCCCCCCCACCGUUCUGGAGAGAGGAGUGGAAAUUCUGGGAGAAAUCAGACCUAUUCCACAGUUUUGAGAGCCCUGUGAUGAUCUAGAAUUACACUGUCAAUUUAGAGCUUUAAAAUGCAUCCAGUACAUUUUGAAAUGUGAAGAUUGAGAGAGCUUCAGGAAGAACAAAAGUUCAAGGAAAAUUGCCCUUUCCUUUGGAUUUUUCCAUUUGAUCUUAAGUCUUCAAAAACCUCAUCCCAGGGUUCCAGCACAAAGGCUCUUCCACUUCAAUGAUGCCUGGAAUUCACUGGUAACUUGGACCCUGGAGUUCCACUGACCUGAGUUUUGCCGCCACUAACAGGCUCUUUGAUUUAGGGGUGAGCGGCUUGACCUCUGAGGCUCAGACUUCUUGUCGAAAAAAGUACUAUUUCCCCCACAGGACUGUCAUGAGGAUCGGAUGGGAUAAUGUGCAUAAAACGCUUGGCAUGGUACCUGGCACGCAGAAGUGCUCAGUUAAACCCUAUGCUCCAGACGCACACACCUUCUCAGGUGUGCCAAGCACCUGAACAUUUCCAUGCUUUGCACAUGCUGUUCCCUCUUCUUGCUGGCCAAUUCCUAUUCAUCCUUUAAAGCCCCCUGACCCUUUUCCACCCCUUCUAGAAUUGCUACAAAUAUAUGUUUCAGUGAAAAGCUAGAAAAGGCACUUCCCUGGGGCCCCCUGUCACUGCAUGCAUCACACUGAGAUGCAAUGAUCUGUUUAUGCCUUGUCUCCCAGCCUGGGCUCGAACUUUCCAACAGCAGGGCUGUAUCUGGCUCAUUUCCAAGUCCAAGUGCACAGCCUGGCAUGAAGUGGAUUUCAAUAAAAGUGUUUCUACCUUAAAUGCAUGUGGUCUGGCCCCAGCCCCUGCUGUCCCCAGGACAUAUUUAUAUAUGAGAAGUAGUAAAAGGCAGCCAGAUGGGUUAUAACCACAGUGAGCGGACCUGGAGCAGCCUUGAGACAGGCCUGUCUUGGGAGAGGUUUGGCAGUCCUGGCAAGGAGAAUAAAGUCUUGGCUCCAAUGUCACCUUCAGAAGUGUUUCCCCAGUUCCUAAAUUGUCCCAUUUCUCUGACAUCUCCCCAAGGCAUUAGCAGGAGGAGUUCCAAGGGCCGAGGUGUGUCCAAGGGCUGAGGUGUGUCCAGGAGUGUCCCCUGCCCUGCCAAUACAUCUCCCAUUCAGACAGAGCUCUAUAGUCACAGGCUCUAUCUGGAUGGUCUAGGUGGCCUAGGACCCUAGGCCUGGGUGGAUCUGAGUGAUGGGUUAUAACCACAGUCAGGGCCCUAGUGGAGCCAUAUCCCAGAGGAAGAAAAUUCCUAAAUCUGGGGUUCCAGGGGCCUCACCGUGAGAGGGGGGCUGUGCUUUCUCUUCAUAGCACAUGUGUAAAGCUACUUUGUGCCCAAAGCCCAUCUUGGUGCCUAAGCCCCCAACCCCCUGAAUGCCAGUUUAGCCCCUGCUGGAAUGACAGCCUCCCUUUCCUUUUGUUCCAAAGAAAUGACUGUCAAAAGGAGAAGAGGUAUAUUGUUUCUUUUUCUUUUCUUUUCUUUUU
Long non-coding RNA from Manis javanica (Malayan pangolin), 2193 nucleotides. RefSeq lists it as uncharacterized. The record is from RefSeq and is a predicted model, not a curated record. NCBI's taxonomy places the organism in Eukaryota, Metazoa, Chordata, Mammalia, Pholidota, Manidae.